GCACUGACUGCUAUCGGAUUGAUACUAAGCCAUGCGAGUCAUUGUAGUAAUACAAGGCAGACGGCUCAGUAACGCGUAGUCAACCUAACCUAUGGACGGGAAUAACCUCGGGAAACUGAGUGUAAUGCCCGAUAGAACAUUAUGCCUGGAAUGGUUUAUGUUCCAAAUGAUUUAUCGCCGUAGGAUGGGACUGCGGCCUAUCAGUUUGUUGGUGAGGUAAUGGCCCACCAAGACUAUUACAGGUACGGGCUCUGAGAGGAGUAGCCCGGAGAUGGGUACUGAGACACGGACCCAGGCCCUAUGGGGCGCAGCAGGCGAGAAAACUUUGCAAUGUGCGAAAGCACGACAAGGUUAAUCCGAGUGGUUUCUGCUAAAGGGACCUUUUGUCGGUCCUAGAAACACCGAUGAAUAAGGGGUGGGCAAGUUCUGGUGUCAGCCGCCGCGGUAAAACCAGCACCUCAAGUGGUCAGGAUGAUUAUUGGGCCUAAAGCAUCCGUAGCCGGCUCCAUAAGUUUUCGGUUAAAUCUGUACGCUCAACGUACAGGCUGCCGGGAAUACUGUGGAGCUAGGGAGUGGGAGAGGUAGACGGUACUCGUAGGAAAGGGGUAAAA
Molecule: ribosomal RNA, 611 nt
Filed under: uncultured marine archaeon
Lineage: Archaea
Description: bacterial SSU rRNA
Rfam family: Archaeal small subunit ribosomal RNA
Source: RNAcentral